This 1864-nucleotide long non-coding RNA is filed under the name Lathyrus oleraceus (garden pea). Its description in RNAcentral is "Pisum sativum (pea) long non-coding RNA (PSAT_LNC039839)". The record is from RNAcentral. Lineage: Eukaryota; Viridiplantae; Streptophyta; Magnoliopsida; Fabales; Fabaceae.
GGCCACCAUGUGCUCAUUAACCGAUUUGUACAUGAUGACAACACGAAUACUGUCAUACGUAAAAUCAUAACACGGUGAAAAUGUUCUAUUGAUGUAUUGUAAUUUCGGUAGUAUAACGGUAUAAUAUUGUUGAAUCCACAGUAUGACAUAUCAAUUUAUAGAACAUAUUAAAGUAAACAGCAACAACACAAAUUAUUUACAUAGCAAAAUAUUAUAAUGCUCAAAUACAAAAUAAAAUCAAUAAAAAUGCAACGCAAUCGAAACCGAAGUCAAACAUACAUCCAUACUAAAAAAAAGUGGAAUUGAGUAAAAAAGAACUAGGAAAAAACAAACUACACAUACUGAACGAAAGUUACUUAAACUUGAAUUUAGCAUAAACAUUACAAGAGAUAAAAAAUGAAAGAAAACUGAAUAGUUAAUAAAAGAAAAUGAAAGUUAUUAGAAACAAACUCUCAUAUUGAACCAAAUGCAAAUUAUUAGAAACAAAUUCUCAUAUUGAACCAUCAAGUGAUAAUUAAUAAAACAAAAAUAUAGCUAUGCUUUUUUUUAAGAGACAAAUUAAGUUAUGAUUAAAAAGUAUUAGCACAAUUCAUGCUAGCAUAUGAAGAAGUAUAGACACAUUAUAACCACAAAUUGCAUUCAUACGGCUACAAAUCAUGCAGCAAAAACAACAUAAUUACAAAACAUAUCUUAAACAUAAAUAGCAAAAAAAAUAACAACUAUAAACAUUUUUCUUUUGCCACACAACUCCAAGCAGGGAGACAAUUUAUCUGCCAAGAUAAGCAACACCUUGACAUGCAUUUGCAACCAAAUAAGCUAAUCAACAUGCACCAAAAUGUAAAUCAUGUCAUUUGAAUAACUAAGUGAUGGCAUAUUUUCUUUAAAAACAAAAAAAAAACAAAGGCAAGAUCUAUGUUCCAAGUAAAUCUUUUCAAAACAAAAUAUCAUGAAUAAAAAGGUACAAUAUAAAGAAUGUGAAAAUUACCACUGCCGGCGGAAGAACCUGGAGAGAGUAAGCUCGACUAUUAUGUUAUUAUUUUAGAGUUGCUGUAAAGAAACUUGAGCAGAGUCAUGUAGUUGUUACCGUCGUCGUAAACAUGACCGAACCGAAAUAAAUCUUCCCCAAAACUUGCAAGAACAAACUCGGCGAAGUGACUCAAUCUCGUUAGUAUGGUUGCUUGAAGGUUCGUGGAGCAUGGUUACUGAGUUUAUUCAUGCGGCGAUGUCGUGGUAUGGUGAAGGAAGUGGAAUACAUCGACGAAAUCUUAUGUUAGAUGCGGUGGUCGGUCAUGUGUGUUUGACAAGUAGAUGAUGGUGGACAUGAAGGUUGUUUCGGGGUGAGUCGGAAGUGAAUUGGUGGGAGAACAGUGAGAGAGAUCGCUGGUUUUAAUGGUGAUUUGAACACGGUGUUGGAUGGAUGUUGGUGGUGACGUCGGCGGUCUCGUGGCCGGAUCUGAAGUGGGUUUUUCGGUGGUGCGAAGGUCAGUCGAAGGGAGUUCGUCGUAGGGUUGUGGUUGUGGCACGCGAUGUUUGUGAGCGAAGAACGGAGAGGGGUUGUUGGCGGUUGGCUCGCCGGUGAUUUAUGGUGGUGGGUUUAUGGUAAGAGGCGGAAAAAUGGAGAGAAGAGGUAACCGUGGGUUUGUUGGAUUUUGACUCUUUUUCCUUAUUCUUUUCUUUUUGUUUCUCUUUUCUCAUGCUACAGAGAAUGAGUCCUCCUGUGAGAGAGAAAUGCGGGUAUAUGUAUAUGAGUUUUUAGCUUUUUCUUUUCUUAUUUUUUGUUUUAUUGGGUGAGUCCAGAUAGAAGAGGGAGAGGGAGAGGCGUGUAAGAGUGAAGGUAGGAGUCUUGGAAUAUUAUGAGGGUAAC